AUUGAACGCUGGCGGCAUGCCUAACACAUGCAAGUCGGACGAGCGGCGGACGGGUGAGUAAUGUAUGGGGAUCUGCCUGAUGGCGGGGGAUAACUACUGGAAACGGUAGCUAAUACCGCAUACCAUCAGAUGAACCCAUAGGGGAUUAGCUAGUAGGUGUGGUAAAGGCUCACCAAGGCGACGAUCCCUCGCUGGUCUGAGAGGAUGACCAGCCACACUGGGACUGAGACACGGCCCAGACUCCUACGGGAGGCAGCAGUGGGGAAUAUUGGACAAGGGGCGAAAGCCUGAUGCAGCCAUGCCGCGUGUAUGAAGAAGGCCUUAGGGUUGUAAAGUACUUUCAGCGGGGAGGCGUUACCCGCAGAAGAAGCACCGGCUAACUCCGUGCCAGCAGCCGCGGUAAUAC
Molecule: ribosomal RNA, 406 nt
Filed under: uncultured bacterium
Lineage: Bacteria
Description: partial 16S ribosomal RNA
Rfam family: Bacterial small subunit ribosomal RNA
Source: RNAcentral